CGGGGCUAAUACCGGAUACGACCAUUCCUGGCAUCAGGUGGUGGUGGAAAGUUUUUCGGCUGAGGAUGGGCCCGCGGCCUAUCAGCUUGUUGGUGGGGUGAAGGCCUACCAAGGCGACGACGGGUAGCCGGCCUGAGAGGGCGACCGGCCACACUGGGACUGAGACACGGCCCAGACUCCUACGGGAGGCAGCAGUGGGGAAUAUUGCGCAAUGGGCGGAAGCCUGACGCAGCGACGCCGCGUGAGGGAUGACGGCCUUCGGGUUGUAAACCUCUUUCAGCAGGGACGAAGCGCAAGUGACGGUACCUGCAGAAGAAGCACCGGCCAACUACGUGCCAGCAGCCGCGGUAAUACGUAGGGUGCAAGCGUUGUCCGGAAUUAUUGGGCGUAAAGAGCUCGUAGGCGGUCUGUCGCGUCGGCUGUGAAAUCUCGGGGCUCAACCCCGAGCCUGCAGUCGAUACGGGCAGACUUGAGUGCUGUAGGGGAGACUGGAAUUCCUGGUGUAGCGGUGAAAUGCGCAGAU
Molecule: ribosomal RNA, 523 nt
Filed under: uncultured Actinomycetes bacterium
Lineage: Bacteria; Bacillati; Actinomycetota; Actinomycetes
Description: bacterial SSU rRNA
Rfam family: Bacterial small subunit ribosomal RNA
Source: RNAcentral